Molecule: ribosomal RNA, 460 nt
Filed under: uncultured bacterium
Lineage: Bacteria
Description: partial 16S ribosomal RNA
Rfam family: Bacterial small subunit ribosomal RNA
Source: RNAcentral
CCUACGGGUGGCAGCAGUGAGGAAUAUUGGUCAAUGGACGCAAGUCUGAACCAGCGACGCCGCGUGCAGGAAGACGGCUCUAUGAGUUGUAAACUGCUUUUGUACGAGGGUAAACGCAGAUACGCGUAUCUGUCUGAAAGUAUCGUACGAAUAAGGAUCGGGUAACCUCGGUCCAGCAGCCGCGGUAAUACGGAGUAUUGAAGCGUUAUCAGGAUUUAUUGGGUUUAAAGGGUGAGUAGGCGGUCGGAUAAGUUAGAGGUGAAAUCCCGAGGCUCAACUUCGGAAUUGCCUCUGAUACUGUUCGGCUAGAGAGUAGUUGCGGUAGGCGGAAUGUAUGGUGUAGCGGUGAAAUGCUUAGAGAUCAUACAGAACACCGAUUGCGAAGGCAGCUUACCAAGCUACUUCUGACGUUGAGGCACGAAAGCGUGGGGAGCAAACAGGAUUAGAUACCCGGGUAGUC